Molecule: ribosomal RNA, 443 nt
Filed under: uncultured bacterium
Lineage: Bacteria
Description: partial 16S ribosomal RNA
Rfam family: Bacterial small subunit ribosomal RNA
Source: RNAcentral
CCUACGGGUGGCUGCAGUAGGGAAUAUUGCACAAUGGAGGAAACUCUGAUGCAGCGACGCCGCGUGAGUGACGAAGGCCUUCGGGUUGUAAAGCUCUGUUCUCAGGGAAAAAGAAAGUGAUUGUACCUGAGGAGAAAGGACCGGCUAACUUCGUGCCAGCAGCCGCGGUAAGACGAGGGGUCCAAGCGUUGUUCGGAAUCAUUGGGCGUAAAGCGGGUGUAGGUGGCUCUAUAAGUCAGGAGUGAAAGCCCUAAGCUUAACUUAGGAAGUGCUUUUGAUACUGUAGAGCUUGAAUGUGGGAGAGGAUCGUAGAAUUCCUGGUGUAGUGGUGAAAUACGUAGAUAUCAGGAGGAAUACCGGAGGCGAAGGCGGCGAUCUGGCCCAACAUUGACACUGAGACCCGAAAGCGUGGGGAUCAAACAGGAUUAGAUACCCUUGUAGUC